UCUCUGCUCCAACGAUUUUUUAAAUUGCUGUGGUAUUUUGACUAUACGAAGGUAUUGAAAUAAGGCUUUAAUUGAGUGCUAAGAGAAUGAUUUAACAAAAAUUGACUUUCUUUUUAUUUAAAAUAAAAAUUGAUUUAAUAAUGAAAAAGUUUUUAUGAAUUUUUGGGACAAGAAGACCCUAUGAAUUUUAUUUAAAAUUUUAUUUACUAUUAAUAAAGGAAAAUAAAAUAUUAUUUUAAAUUGGUUGGGGUGACUUUUAAAGAAUGAAUAUCUUUAAAAAGUAAAUAAUUUGAACCUUAAUUUAAGGUUAUUUGUAAAAAAUACUCUAGGGAUAACAGCGUAAUUAUUUUGGAUAGUUCAUAUAGAUGAAAUAGUUUGCGACCUCGAUGUUGGAUUAAGAUAUUUAUAUGAUGUAGAAGUUAUAUAAAAAGUUGCUCAACCUAU
This 444-nucleotide ribosomal RNA is filed under the name Alectorobius yumatensis. RNAcentral's name for it is "Ornithodoros yumatensis partial 16S ribosomal RNA". The record is from RNAcentral. Lineage: Eukaryota; Metazoa; Arthropoda; Arachnida; Ixodida; Argasidae.